This 249-nucleotide ribosomal RNA is filed under the name uncultured Hyphomicrobiales bacterium. RNAcentral's name for it is "uncultured Rhizobiales bacterium partial 16S ribosomal RNA". It matches the Rfam family "Bacterial small subunit ribosomal RNA", at positions 796 to 1041 of the family's 1533-position model. Lineage: Bacteria; Pseudomonadati; Pseudomonadota; Alphaproteobacteria; Hyphomicrobiales. The record is from RNAcentral.
CACGCCGUAAACGAUGAAUGCCAGCCGUUGGGAAGUUUACUUCUCAGUGGCGCAGUUAACGCUUUAAGCAUUCCGCCUGGGGAGUACGGUCGCAAGAUUAAAACUCAAAGGAAUUGACGGGGGCCCGCACAAGCGGUGGAGCAUGUGGUUUAAUUCGACGCAACGCGCAGAACCUUACCAGCCCUUGACAUCCCGGUCGCGGUUUCCAGAGAUGGAAUCCUUCAGUUCGGCUGGACCGGUGACAGGUGC